GACUCUGGAGAGAAGUGUUGAAUCACUCACCGAAGGGGAAGGUGGCCGCAUUGAUGUGCAAUGUAUCUACCGAAGCUCUCAGGUACACAUGACAGAUGGGAAA
RNAcentral lists this non-coding RNA (103 nucleotides) under Acinetobacter lwoffii. RNAcentral describes it as "Glycine riboswitch". It matches the Rfam family "Glycine riboswitch aptamer", at positions 10 to 85 of the family's 94-position model. Rfam says of the family: This family represents the bacterial glycine riboswitch. Glycine riboswitches usually consist of two metabolite-binding aptamers domains with similar structures in tandem. The record is from RNAcentral. Lineage: Bacteria; Pseudomonadati; Pseudomonadota; Gammaproteobacteria; Moraxellales; Moraxellaceae.